Molecule: long non-coding RNA, 603 nt
Organism: Chinchilla lanigera (long-tailed chinchilla)
Lineage: Eukaryota; Metazoa; Chordata; Mammalia; Rodentia; Chinchillidae
Exons: 3
Source: RefSeq, a predicted model, not a curated record
GGUGGGUAGGGUCCCGGGGCCGGAAGUGGAGCUCAGCCCACUGGCUGCGCAGGGCUAGUGCUGGGCGCUGUUCCCUUGGGGAACCGCGGUGGGAGCGUUGUCACGCGUGGGCCGUCAGCAUGCAAACCUGAGCCCCUGUCCUCUGCAUGAGAUCCAGGACUCGGGACCACUGUUUUCCAAGAAUCAUCUAUCACCAGCUCACCUGCCUCCAGCUCUCCACCAGAGGAUGAGUCCGACUCCACCAGGAUCGGCUCGAGCCCUGAAACAUCGAGGUUCCUACUGAAGGAGCAGCGCCGGUGUACAGACCCUCGCUCAGAGCCGUGGGCACCGCGCAGACUGGCGAGGACACACACUGACACGCCGGGUGCGGCCAACAGGCGUCCUGUGGGAUUCGGUCUUCACCAUUCUGCUAGGAGCGAAUAUAACCACCCGCCACCGGAGACAGAACUGCAGGGUUUUUCUCUUCCGCGGUGUAAAAUCGAGCGAAUCCACAAGUAGCAGCGUGGAGGGUACCGGGCCUGCGUGGAGGAGGCUCCCGUGGGAGGGCGGGCUCGGUGGGGCGCCGGGGCUGCGCGCGACACCAGGCUUCGGGGGCCAGCGCCC